Molecule: ribosomal RNA, 197 nt
Filed under: uncultured bacterium
Lineage: Bacteria
Description: partial 16S ribosomal RNA
Rfam family: Bacterial small subunit ribosomal RNA
Source: RNAcentral
ACGCUCGACACCUACGGGAGCAGCAGUGGGGAAUAUUGCACAAUGGAGGAAACUCUGAUGCAGCGAUGCCGCGUGAGGGAAGAAGGUUUUCGGAUUGUAAACCUCUGUCUUUGGGGACGAUAAUGACGGUACCCAAGGAGGAAGCUCCGGCUAACUACGUGCCAGCAGCCACGGUAAUCUGAGCGGGCUGGCAAGGC